This 244-nucleotide ribosomal RNA is filed under the name uncultured Actinomycetales bacterium. Its description in RNAcentral is "partial 16S ribosomal RNA". It matches the Rfam family "Bacterial small subunit ribosomal RNA", at positions 89 to 334 of the family's 1533-position model. The record is from RNAcentral. Lineage: Bacteria; Bacillati; Actinomycetota; Actinomycetes; Actinomycetales.
ACUCGAGUGGCGAACGGGUGAGUAACACGUGAGUAACCUACCCUUGACUUUGGGAUAACUUCAGGAAGCUGGGGCUAAUACCGGAUAGGAGCUCCUGCUGCAUGGUGGGGGUUGGAAAGUUUCGGCGGUUGGGGAUGGACUCGCGGCUUAUCAGCUUGUUGGUGGGGUAGUGGCUCACCAAGGCUUUGACGGGUAGCCGGCCUGAGAGGGUGACCGGCCACAUUGGGACUGAGAUACGGCCCAG